GACGAACGCUGGCGGCGUGCUUAACACAUGCAAGUCGAACGGAAAGGCCCCUUUGGGGGUACUCGAGUGGCGAACGGGUGAGUAACACGUGAGUAACCUGCCCUUGACUUCGGGAUAACUUCAGGAAACUGGGGCUAAUACCGGAUAGGAAUCCUUGCUGCAUGGUGGUGGUUGGAAAGCUUCGGCGGUUUUGGAUGGACUCGCGGCUUAUCAGCUUGUUGGUGGGGUAGUGGCUUACCAAGGCUUUGACGGGUAGCCGGCCUGAGAGGGCGACCGGCCACAUUGGGACUGAGAUACGGCCCAGACUCCUACGGGAGGCAGCAGUGGGGAAUAUUGCACAAUGGGCGGAAGCCUGAUGCAGCAACGCCGCGUGCGGGAUGACGGCCUUCGGGUUGUAAACCGCUUUCAGCAGGGGCGAAGCUUGUGGUGACGUUACCUGCAGAAGAAGCACCGGCUAACUACGUG
RNAcentral lists this ribosomal RNA (465 nucleotides) under uncultured bacterium. Its description in RNAcentral is "partial 16S ribosomal RNA". It matches the Rfam family "Bacterial small subunit ribosomal RNA", at positions 28 to 507 of the family's 1533-position model. The record is from RNAcentral.